This is a non-coding RNA of Dermacentor albipictus, 1120 nucleotides long. The record is from RefSeq and is a predicted model, not a curated record. Lineage: Eukaryota; Metazoa; Arthropoda; Arachnida; Ixodida; Ixodidae.
CAUUUUUCCGUCGCCAUUUCGUACGUAUUUUUGUUAGUUGUCUCCCGUCAAGUUGGUUCUUUAUUUUAUGUUCCGGCCUCUGCACGUGCGUUUGUUUGCUCGGACAGCUGGAGCGUAAGAUGUCUCACGUCCUUGCGAAGUGAGUUGACGAUAACAAGUGGGACGUGUAUCCCGUGAAUGCUUUGGCCGACACGGAUGUGGCCUUCCGUCUCAUAUCGCAGCAGGGGUCAAUUAAAGAAGUAUUCAACUCAUCAGUUGGAAAGAAGGAGCGCCACCGGACCCGGCAGUACUCCUUGCCUUCGAUAUCAACCCAUGCAGCACCUGUACUGUUCAGGUAAAGGCACUUCAAGAAGAAAAUCGGGAAUUAAAAGAUGAAGUGGAACAUAUGAAGCGGAUGGCUGAAAAACACGAUUACAUUUAUGGAAGCCUCUUGGCGCCAAAGACGGAAUGCAUGGAUACGAGCGCUCCUGUGCCAAUAAAUAGAGGUGGACAUUGGGGCCGGUGUGAAUGUUGAACAAGGCACCCUAGAGAGGCUAUGCUGAGCAUGCGAAAGUGGCCUUGGCAAAUUUGCCAGGGCUCUUUUGUGGAAUGUAUUCACCCCUGAGGAGCUACGGGACGAACCGCUCCUGGGUGAGAAGAGCAACUUGCACUUAAACCAGCCAUUCAAGGAGGCCUUGGACCCUAUUCGUAUCCGAGCUGUGAUUGACUACACAUGCUCCAAGUUUCCCUCUACCAGCCUCUCCUACAUAAAGAACAUCAUCUCCCCAGUACUGGCAAGAGAAAUGAAAGAGCCUGAAGCUAAAUAAAUUUGUGGCCUAUUGUAUAAAAGGAAUGAUUCACAUGCUUUUUGUUAAUCACGAAGUUGUUUCUUUUCAUAACACCACAGGGAAAGAGGCCUUGCAAUGGAAAGCUAGAAAAUGCACCUUGAAGAUGUCCCGAGGCCAAGCCAUGCCUCAAUGGCGAAUAUCAACAUUAGUUAAUUUCAUGUUGCAUUGCACCUUACAAUCCAUAAAUUUAAUAUUGCAUUCCACUUGAAAAUCCAUAAACUUAAUGUUGCAUUCCACUUGAAAAUCCAUAAACUUAUUGUUGCAUUCCACUUGAAAAUCCAUAAACUUAUUGU